GUCGAACGGGAUUUAGUAAACAGAAGCCUCGGUGGAAGAUUACUAAUGAGACUGUCGAACGGGUGAGUAACGCGUGAGCAACCUGCCUAUGACAGUGGGAUAGCCUCGGGAAACCGGGAUUAAUACCGCAUAAAAUCGUAGAAACACAUGUUUCAACGGUCAAAGAUUUAUCGGUCAUAGAUGGGCUCGCGUCUGAUUAGCUAGUUGGUGAGAUAACAGCCCACCAAGGCGACGAUCAGUAGCCGGUCUGAGAGGAUGAACGGCCACAUUGGAACUGAGACACGGUCCAAACUCCUACGGGAGGCAGCAGUGGGGAAUAUUGCACAAUGGGGGAAACCCUGAUGCAGCGACGCCGCGUGAACGAAGAAGGUAUUCGUAUCGUAAAGUUCCGUCCUAUGGGAAGAUAAUGACAGUACCAUAGAAGAAAGCUCCGGCUAAAUACGUGCCAGCAGCCGCGGUAAUACGUAUGGAGCGAGCGUUGUCCGGAAUUAUUGGGCGUAAAGGGUACGCAGGCGGUUUAAUAAGUCGAAUGUUAAAGAUCGGGGCUCAACCCCGUAAAGCAUUGGAAACUGAUAAACUUGAGUAGUGGAGAGGAAAGUGGAAUUCCUAGUGUAGUGGUGAAAUACGUAGAUAUUAGGAGGAAUACCAGUAGCGAAGGCGACUUUCUGGACACAAACUGACGCUGAGGUACGAAAGCGUGGGGAGCAAACAGGAUUAGAUACCCUGGUAGUCCACGCCGUANACGAUGAAUGCUAGGUGUUGGGGGU
Molecule: ribosomal RNA, 767 nt
Filed under: uncultured bacterium
Lineage: Bacteria
Description: bacterial SSU rRNA
Rfam family: Bacterial small subunit ribosomal RNA
Source: RNAcentral